Molecule: ribosomal RNA, 492 nt
Filed under: uncultured bacterium
Lineage: Bacteria
Description: partial 16S ribosomal RNA
Rfam family: Bacterial small subunit ribosomal RNA
Source: RNAcentral
AGUGAACGCUGGCGGUAGGCCUAACACAUGCAAGUCGAACGGCAGCACAGUAAGAGCUUGCUCUUACGGGUGGCGAGUGGCGGACGGGUGAGGAAUACAUCGGAAUCUACUUUUUCGUGGGGGAUAACGUAGGGAAACUUACGCUAAUACCGCAUACGACCUACGGGUGAAAGCAGGGGAUCUUCGGACCUUGCGCGAUUGUAUGAGCCGAUGUCGGAUUAGCUAGUCGGCGGGGUAAAGGCCCACCAAGGCGACGAUCCGUAGCUGGUCUGAGAGGAUGAUCAGCCACACUGGAACUGAGACACGGUCCAGACUCCUACGGGAGGCAGCAGUGGGGAAUAUUGGGCAAUGGGCGCAAGCCUGAUCCAGCCAUGCCGCGUGGGUGAAGAAGGCCUUCGGGUUGUAAAGCCCUGUUAUUGGGAAAGAAAAGCAGCAGGUUAAUACCCCGCUGUUCUGACGGUACCCAAAGAAUAAGCACCGGCUAACUUCGUG